RNAcentral lists this ribosomal RNA (436 nucleotides) under uncultured bacterium. RNAcentral describes it as "bacterial SSU rRNA". It matches the Rfam family "Bacterial small subunit ribosomal RNA", at positions 954 to 1392 of the family's 1533-position model. The record is from RNAcentral.
GCAGAACGCGAAGAACCUUACCUAGGCUUGACAUGCAUCUCUAAGCGCGUGAAAGCGCGUGACCCUUCGGGGGAUUUGCACAGGUGCUGCAUGGCCGUCGUCAGCUCGUGUCGUGAGAUGUUGGGUUAAGUCCCGCAACGAGCGCAACCCUUGUGAACAGUUGCCAGCACUUAAGGUGGGAACUCUGUUCAGACUGCCCAGAUCAACUGGGAGGAAGGUGGGGACGACGUCAGGUCAGUAUGGCCCUUACGCCUAGGGCUGCACACGUACUACAAUGCCCAGCACAAUGAGAACCGAGACCGAGAGGUGGAGGAAUCUAAAAAACUGGGCCCAGUUCGGAUUGGAGGCUGCAACUCGCCUCCAUGAAGUUGGAAUCGCUAGUAAUGGCGCAUCAGCUACGGCGCCGUGAAUACGUUCCCGGGUCUUGUACACACCG